This 205-nucleotide non-coding RNA is filed under the name Eubacteriaceae bacterium. The record is from RNAcentral. Lineage: Bacteria; Bacillati; Bacillota; Clostridia; Eubacteriales; Eubacteriaceae.
UGAGGAGCAUUCCGAUGACGAUUGCAAAGAUAGCAUUGCAAAGAAAAAGGAAUCCGGUGAGAAUCCGGAGCAGGCUUACCCCUACUGUGAGGCAGACGAGGGCGGCAGGGAUGCGUUCCAUCCCGGUCACUGGAAGAGAUUCCGGGAAGACGCCGUCCCAAGGAAGAAGCCGAGCCAGGAUACUUUUAACAUUUCUUCGGAAGUU